Non-coding RNA from Phasianus colchicus (ring-necked pheasant), 2837 nucleotides. The record is from RefSeq and is a predicted model, not a curated record. Lineage: Eukaryota; Metazoa; Chordata; Aves; Galliformes; Phasianidae.
UCCUUAUAUCUAGCUGAAAUCUACCCUCUUUGAGAGUCUGUCCCCUUCUUUCCUAUAGCUCCCCUGUAGAUACUGAAGGGCUGCUACCAGGUCACCUCACAGCCUUCUCUUCUCCAGGCUGAACAGCUCCAGCUCUCAGCCUGCCCUCAUAGUAGAGGUGUUCAAUUCUGUAGAUCAUUUCUGUGGCCCUUCUCUGGAUGCUCCCCAACAGGUCUCUGUCUCUCCUGUACUGAGGACUCCACAUCUGGAUGCAGUACUCCAGGUGAGGCCUCAGCAGUGCAAUUUAGGGCACUCCUUUUGAAGAUUAAAAUACAAAAGGAGCUGAUCUUUUCAACAGUCUGCCUGAAUCCUGGGAGACGCUCAGUGAACAAUGAAGUUAUGUCACCUUAUUGAAAGUACACAGUAUCGUUUGUCAGAUGUCACUUGUGUGUUUGAGAAGUUGAUUGAACUGUGUAUAUUCAGUGCUAGCUUCUAACUAUAAAUAUUUCAAAAGUCCUGAAAAAACUCUUGACUCAUGUGCACUAGGAAGUUCUGAAGUACUGCAAGUAGAUCUCUACAGCUUGUCACUCUGAAUAAAACAGUAUAAGCAUCUUAGAGUUUAGUCAUGAGAGGGCAAAGCACUGUGAAUUUUGUUGCUUUCUCCUUGAAGCUUACAAGCUAUUUUGCUGCCCCAAAACUUUUACUGUCACAUGAGCAGAUGUUUUUGUCUAAUUUAAAAAUCAAGCUGCUUCUAAUCUCAGGUGAAGAAUGAGAUUUUGUUAAGCUUUAUUUUUAUCUGCCACAGUUAAAUUCUUCUGAAAGUAAUUGUCUUGAAGGUUCAGCCAGUAAUGUACGGUUUGUCUUUUUAGUUUGUUUGUUGUAGAUUUACUAUAUUGUACCCAGCUGAAUCUUACUGGGCUUUUAUUUUCUUAUACUGCUACCUAAAUGUAAUAAUCCUAUGCGCUUCUCACGCUACUUCUGCUUUUGAUUUCUGUGUUAUUAAAUUAGUUCACAUGCUGACUGUUGAAUCAAGAAUGAGUCCCUGUAAAACUCCCACUGCAUACCUUUCCCACUGUUCCUAUCAGCUACUGGUAAUAAUAGUCCCAUUGAACCAGCUUAAAGAAGGAAGCACAUCACAAACUCAAAAAGCUGCACCGGACGGUUGUGGGAGGGAGCAGCCUACACAGCCUGUCGUCUUCCUGUGUUAAGCAUCUCUUUGUUGCUUUGGGGUUUCAUAGUUGCAGAGGAAGGGAUGUGGACAGCUACUGUUUGGUGGAUACUCCUGUUCCAAAAGCACGUAUUCGUUAAACCACAGUUUGAUUUUUCUAUCCAUAUCUCCAAUUCCUUUGCUGAAAGGAACACAGCUAUGAAGCAAUAGCGGUUACUUUGCCAGAUACCCACAUUUCUAGUAGCAGAACUGAUAACAAAGGGGAUUUCUGUAGAAGUUUUACAGGUUUUUAUUUUCCCGUGUUCAGCAAAGUAAUCAAUGGGGAAACAUUCUGAAGACUUCAGCUCUGAAGUUGCUGCCAUUUUAGCUGUGGGUUUUGUGGUGUGUAAUUUUUGAUUUUUGUGGUUUGGUGGUGGCUUUUGUUGUUGUUUUAUGAAUGUCACAAUAGAAAUAAAUAGUCCACAGCCAUGAGCCACCAAGGAAAGGAAGAAUGCUGUAAGAGACACUCUUCAUAGAAAAGCAGCUGGCAGGGUAUCUUUCCUGCUAGCGUUCUUUUCUGUAUUUCAGCUGAAUUUUUGCCACGUUCAGAGUGCAUUCAGAUUUCUAGGCAGACCCAGCAUUCACAUCUAGAUAUGUAUUCUUCCUGUAAAACAAAGAAUGUGCCUUAAGGUGUGCCAGGCUAGCUGACCUGUGCCAUCACAGCCUUUUUCCUCAGUUUGAACUUUGAAAGCAGGUGACUCAAUGAUCCCCGUGGUUCCCUUCCAAUGUCAGAGAAGAGCUUCACCCCUGCAGUGCAGAGGCAAUCAGCAUGGGUUUCACCUGUCUGUGGGUGCUGUGCCUCAUCUGAGCACUGACCUAACAAAUGGGAUUCUGGGGUCACAGAAUCACAGAAUUGUAGGGGCUGGAAGGGACCUCUAGAGAUCAUUGAGUCCAACCCUCCUAUUAAAGGAGGUUCCCUAGAGUAAGUUGCAGAGGUCAGCUCCCAAUGCUCAUCUAAGGAAAGUUGAGCUCCGUGGAGAUCUUAAGUGCUUGCUGUGUUGUGCUGAGCUCUCCUGUGACUCAAGAGUCAUCAAAGUACUCUCCAAAAAAGGAAUUUGUCCUCACUUUGUAUCUGAGAGAGAGGUAUUGCAUUACCUCUGCUUCAAAAAUGAGGAAGAAAGCGAUUAUGUGAUUCACCUUAAUUGCACAGGAAGCCACUUGGACUUGUCUUAAUGUUACUGCUGAUCCCACAGACUUGUCAGCAGGUUAAAAUUGGAUGCUUCUCUAAUCCGGUGUCUCCUGUGUGUGUACAGGAACUGUGUCCUGGGCUAUCCUCACUGGGUUUCAAAUGGAUCUAAAUAUCCCCACUGAUAAGUUAGCUUGUUCUAGAUUUUAUGAUGUUAUUUUCUACUAGCUUCAUCUGAAACUGAAAAGACAUUUCCAUUAAUGCAGUGGAGACAAAAAGCCUCCGCUCUCUGACCCCCGCGGAUUAGUGCUAUUCAUCUAGAAGAAAUCACAGCUGCUGCAGCUGUUCAGUGGGAGAGCUGAGGAUGGCCAUGACAUGCUGCAAGUUGUUCGAUAGCAAUUAAAGCGGGUUCAUCAAGUAUUGCUCAUCCUGCAAAUGCCUAAUGGGAGAUGGUUGUGCACUGACCUUUCAAGAUUGCAUCACUGCUCUGCGUGCUUGAAAAUAAGUAAAAAAAAACAAAAUGCA